This 253-nucleotide ribosomal RNA is filed under the name uncultured bacterium. Its description in RNAcentral is "partial 16S ribosomal RNA". It matches the Rfam family "Bacterial small subunit ribosomal RNA", at positions 524 to 776 of the family's 1533-position model. The record is from RNAcentral.
UACAGAGGUCUCAAGCGUUGUUCGGAUUCAUUGGGCGUAAAGGGUGCGUAGGCGGCGCGGUAAGUCGGGUGUGAAAUCUCGGGGCUUAACUCCGAAACUGCAUUCGAUACUGCCGUGCUUGAGGACUGGAGAGGAGACUGGAAUUUACGGUGUAGCGGUGAAAUGCGUAGAUAUCGUAAGGAAGACCAGUGGCGAAGGCGAGUCUCUGGACAGCAACUGACGCUGAGGCACGAAGGCCAGGGGAGCAAACGGG